Equus quagga is the source of this 1359-nucleotide long non-coding RNA. RefSeq lists it as uncharacterized. The transcript has 4 exons. The record is from RefSeq and is a predicted model, not a curated record. Lineage: Eukaryota; Metazoa; Chordata; Mammalia; Perissodactyla; Equidae.
AAGACCGAAUAAAAAAGUCAACACAGAAUUCUGUGACUAUCAAAAAGUAUCUUUUAAUAAAUUAGAAGUGCUUCCAGCUCCAGUAAUGGGUUAGUAGAUUGGUCAGACUGAUCUUACAGACAUGUGAUAAAAUCUGUGCUAUCACCUGAAAACAGUUUUGUUUUUGGAAGGCACCGGUGAAUGAUUGAAAGCGGGCAGAAAUGAAGAGGAGUCUACCUUUGAAAUUAGGAACUGAAACUGGAGUCUUGUGUCUUCUGCCAGCAUCCAUGGAACUGUGGCAGGCUCGCUCGUUAGCUUGUGUGUCAGAUAUUCUUUAAAAAUUAGGAGCAGGAGGGAACUUACUUUAUUUGUUAAAGACCAGCUGGGGAAAAAACCCUAUAGCUAACAUCAUCCUUAAUGGUAGAAGACUGAAUGCUUUCCUCCUGCAAUCAGGAACAAGAAGGAUCUAAUGGUUUACAAGGAGUGAUGGAGUUAAGAAAUCAUCAGUGGAUGCUAAAACUAGUACGUGAACAAUUGAUGAAGAACAGAAUAUGUUCAUAGUGGGAAAAGUAGCAUCUUUACUUUGGAAGAACUUGGUGGACACCACCUUAACCAAGGAUCAAAGUUAACACCGCCAGGAAAAGACAGACUUCUGCAGUUCCUGCUAAAAUGUAUCGUCUGAGUCUAAUCAUGAGGAAAUGUCAGAAAAUCCAAGUUGAAGGCAAUCUACAAAAUAACUGGCCUGAAUUCUUUAAAAUUGCCAAGUUCAAGAAGUGCAAAAGCUAAGAAACUGUUCCAGAUCCAAGGAAUGUAAAGAUAAUGUGACAAGUGGAUGCAUCCACGGUCCUGGCUUGGAUCAUAGACUAGGAAGAUGGAAUAACCAAAAGGAAAUUACUGGGACAGUUGGCACCAUUUGAACAUGGACUUUGGAUAACAUGGUAGUUUUGUAUCAUUGUUAAAUGUCCUGGUUUUGAGAAUUUAUGUCACAUAAGGGAAUGUCUGUUCUUAGGAAAUACUUUGAAAUAUUUAGAGAUACAGGAGCAUGGUAUCUGCAGUUUAUUUUUAAAUGAUUAGCAAGAAAAAAAGCACUGGGAUCAAAUGUAAACAAUCGGUGAAUUUGUGUAAAUAUAUGGGAGUUCUUUGUAUUAUUUUUGCAAAUUUUCUAUAAAUUUGAAAUGAUAUCUAAAAAGUUUAAAAGGGGAAAUAUGUAAAAGUGAAAGUGUUUAAUAGGUGAAGAAUUGAUGUACUCUCCAGCUCAUUGAUGAGCCCGUUAGUUUCAGGCCAUGAAACCAAGUCAUUCAAGCACCAGGUUUUACUCUGGGAGUUUAAGAAAAAGAGUGACAAUAAACUAUGUUUUUGUGUUAAAGUACUUUGAGUCUA